UGACUCAGCCAUAUCACCCUGAAUGUGCCUAAUCUCAUCUGAUCUCGCUAAACAGGACUGGGUCUGAUCAGUACUUGGAUGGGAGACUACCAGGAAUACUGGGUGCAUUUCU
This is a non-coding RNA of Mesocricetus auratus (golden hamster), 112 nucleotides long. Lineage: Eukaryota; Metazoa; Chordata; Mammalia; Rodentia; Cricetidae. The record is from Rfam.